UCUCCAAGAGUCUUACAAUAUUUAUAGACAGAAAACAUAAGCCCAACCGUCUAAACUCACCAGGAAGUAUGGCUUCUUCCUUUCCCCUGAUCUCCCUCUUCAUGCCCUCUGUGAGAGCCUCAAACAUCACCUGCAGCACGUGGCAUGUGGCCAGAGAAACUGAUGAGACUCCUGAUCCCAUUACUGCACACAGUUGCUCCAUCCCCAGUUCAUUCACUAUAGCCAUAGUCUAGGAAUAGAGACAAAAAUGACAGCAUUAAGAAUGUAAGAACAAGGUGGAUACUGCUUCUGGGUAGAGAUCCAUUCUUUCAUUAAAUUCAAAUUAGAAAUGCAUCCAUACACAAAAAAAUGUGCCCUGCUAGAGAGUUUUUGGAUUUCCUCAUGUUUUGAAUACCUAAUUUCAAAUUACAGUGCUGUUGUUCUAUCUAGUGGGCAUGUUGGUAAAUUGCUGUUUCUCAAAAUCUCUCCUAAAUAAUGCACUAACCUAAUUAUAUCAAAAUUGAGAAAAGAGACAAUAUGAUAAAUAUAGAUACAAUGAGUAAACAACUAUUGUAAUAAAUAAAAUCAAAUAUCAGGGAAUUACUCUGGACUGAUGCUCUGUACACAAGCCAACCAGAGUCCUCAGAGCAGAAAGGACAACAUCCUCUUGCUUGGACUGAAGAAGUUUGUGAAUUAGCUUCACGCCAUCGUUACGGAAGAUCUGCUCAGCUCCAGCAUCUUCCCGAGAUAAGACCACUAGAUUCUGGGCUGCCUGAAAUCAUUCAAUGAUUACAUUAUUUGUGCAGAACUUUACAAAUACAACUGUGUUAGCUUUAUAUUAUUUCUAGGGAAGAAACUUUACCUUUUGUCGGUCAGAAUCUUUUACAGAUGUUUCCACGAGUAGCGAGAACAUCUGUUUCACACGGGCAUCUGUGGAGUUCUGCUCUACUGACUACAUGUAUUAAGUGGGGAAAAAAGGCACAACUAUAGAUGUGUGUUUUUUUUUCCCCAUGUCAUAAAAUAUACACACGGGUUGCACAUCACCUUCUGCUGAAUUUGUGUCCCCAGCUGUCUGAGCAGAUCCUGGAAUGCUUUGUUUUUAGGCUCAAGCUGGGCACACCUCUGAGCAUCGAGAACAGCUUGGUCAAGGCGUCCAAGUUUCUGAAAAGCCUGGGCCCUCCUAAAUCUCGCCUUCACAUCACUUGGCUGGAACAGCUAGAGAAAAUUCUCGCCAGCAUGAGAACAUGCAAACUCCACCCAAGUCAGGAACCCAGAACCUGCAAUUGUUGAGCUGAAAAUGUCACAUGUACAGAAACCGAAAACAGCUGGUUAACCAAUAUUAUUGGUGUGCCCGAGGCGGACAUACACCAGCAAGAGGAUCAAUCGUCCUGUCCCAUUCGCAGAAAAACAGCCCCAAAGCAUGAUGUUUCCACCCCCAUGCUUCACAGUAGGUAUGGUGUUCUUGGGAUGCAACUCAGUAUUCUUCUUCCUCCAAACACGACAAGUUGAGUUUAUACCAAAAUGGAUACAUGGAUGAUACAGCAGAGGAUUUGGAGAAUGCCAUGUGGUCAGAUCCGUGUUAAGGAAAGAAUGAAUAGGGCAAUGUAUCGUGAGAUUUUGAACCAAAACCUCCUUCCAUCAGUGAGAGCUUUGAAUGGUUGACCAAAUACUUAUU
Nerophis ophidion (straightnose pipefish) is the source of this 1654-nucleotide long non-coding RNA. RefSeq lists it as uncharacterized. Lineage: Eukaryota; Metazoa; Chordata; Actinopteri; Syngnathiformes; Syngnathidae. The transcript is spliced from 3 exons. The record is from RefSeq and is a predicted model, not a curated record.